Molecule: ribosomal RNA, 253 nt
Filed under: uncultured bacterium
Lineage: Bacteria
Description: partial 16S ribosomal RNA
Rfam family: Bacterial small subunit ribosomal RNA
Source: RNAcentral
UACGUAGGGAGCGAGCGUUGUCCGGAAUCAUUGGGCGUAAAGAGCGCGUAGGCGGUCCGGUAAGUCCGCUCUGAAAGUCCGGGGCUCAACCCCGGGAGGCGGGCGGAUACUGUCGGGCUAGAGUCCGGAAGAGGCGAGUGGAAUUCCUGGUGUAGCGGUGAAAUGCGCAGAUAUCAGGAGGAACACCAAUGGCGAAGGCAGCUCGCUGGGACGGUACUGACGCUGAGGCGCGAAAGCGUGGGGAGCAAACAGG